GACCGUGUAGCUCAGUUGGCAGAGCAUUGGGCUAGUAUUCCAAAGGUCGUGGGUUCGAUUCCCAGUGUGGCCG
RNAcentral lists this transfer RNA (73 nucleotides) under Paramuricea clavata. It matches the Rfam family "tRNA". From Rfam's summary of the family: Transfer RNA (tRNA) molecules are approximately 80 nucleotides in length. Their secondary structure includes four short double-helical elements and three loops (D, anti-codon, and T loops). The record is from Rfam by way of RNAcentral. Lineage: Eukaryota; Metazoa; Cnidaria; Anthozoa; Malacalcyonacea; Plexauridae.